UACAGUAAAAAAAUGAGCGCGAAACCCUGACACUUUACAGAAAGGCACGGAUAUCCCCGCCCGAAGAAAAAAAGAACACAGGACAAUGGUUGCAAGUUAAACAGCUGAACAUUUCACCAUCUGCAAAGAACAUUUCACCAUCAACAUAUUAACAUAAACGGUUCUCUUUUUCUUGUUUGACUGCGUUUGGUACAGGUCACAACAACGACGGCAGAUGUAGAGACCACGCUUUCCCUUGCUUCCACUCCACGGCUGAUCAUGCUUGAGGAUCCAGAUCUACAAAACAAAAAAUGGAUGCUGCCGAUUGAAGGCUAAGUCCGAUUUCCUGCGAUUGCCCUACCAUUUCUUCAGCAUUUGCUGUUCACUUUGGUUGCUACUACGUGCUCAACAUCGAGUACCAUGUGCAAGCAGCCACUACUUUGGAGUUUAUUCAGAGAUUUAUUGUGAGGAUCAGACCCGACAACAGCAAGUGCUCCUCUAACUUCCAGGUGAGCAAAAGAAGUGGGAAGAUGGUGCAAAGGAAGAACUCUGGCCUGAACCAUCAUGUAUAUAUCCACCUUUAUUAA
Misgurnus anguillicaudatus (oriental weatherfish) is the source of this 566-nucleotide non-coding RNA. The record is from RefSeq and is a predicted model, not a curated record. Lineage: Eukaryota; Metazoa; Chordata; Actinopteri; Cypriniformes; Cobitidae.